CAGUCGCCACGGUAAUACAGAGGGUGCGAGCGUUAAUCGGAUUUACUGGGCGUAAAGCGUGCGUAGGCGGCUAAUUGAGUCGGAUGUGAAAUCCCCGAGCUUAACUUGGGAAUUGCAUUCGAUACUGGUUAGCUAGAGUGUGGGAGAGGAUGGUAGAAUUCUAGGUGUAGCGGUGAAAUGCGUAGAGAUCUGGAGGAAUACCGAUGGCGAAGGCAGCCAUCUGGCCUAACACUGACGCUGAGGUACGAAAGCAUGGGGAGCAAACAGGAUUAGAUACCCCGGUAGUCCCUGUCUCUUAUAC
RNAcentral lists this ribosomal RNA (301 nucleotides) under uncultured bacterium. RNAcentral describes it as "partial 16S ribosomal RNA". It matches the Rfam family "Bacterial small subunit ribosomal RNA", at positions 509 to 807 of the family's 1533-position model. The record is from RNAcentral.